GUUCAUGCUUUUAUAGUAUGAAAAUUGGUGAUUUAUAAUAACUUAGCAAAUCGCAAAGUGAAAACAGGCGAUAAAUCAUUCAAGUUUCUGACCUAUCAGCUUUCGACGGUAUGGUAUUGGCUUACCGUGGCAGUGACGGUUAACGGGGGAUUAGGGUUCGAUUCCGGAGAGGGAGCCUGAGAAACGGCUACCACAUCUAAGGAAGGCAGCAGGCGCGCAAAUUACCCAAUUCUAACAGUUUGAGAGAGGUAGUAACAAGAAAUAACAAUACAAGGCAGUUAAAAUGCUUUGUAAUUGGAAUGAUAGAAAUUUAAACCCUUUUUAAAGUAUCAAUUGGAGGGCAAGUCUGGUGCCAGCAGCCGCGGUAAUUCCAGCUCCAAUAGCGUAUAUUAAAAUUGUUGCAGUUAAAAAGCUCGUAGUUGAAGUUCUGCUGAAAGUAACCGGUCUGCUUUUAAUAAAAGUGGUAUCUUGGUAUGUAUUUAGCAAUGAUGUCCUUUGAAGUGUUUUUUACUUUAUUGUAAUAAAGCAUAUUCAGGACUUUUACUUUGAGAAAAUUAGAGUGUUUCUAGCAGGCUAACGCUUUGAAUACUGCAGCAUGGAAUAAUAA
Molecule: ribosomal RNA, 607 nt
Filed under: Hepatozoon canis
Lineage: Eukaryota; Apicomplexa; Hepatozoidae
Description: SSU rRNA
Rfam family: Eukaryotic small subunit ribosomal RNA
Source: RNAcentral